GGGCGCCGCGCGGAGGAAGUGCCCUUUUGGCCGCAGCCAGAGCCGCGCCGCGGGUGCCGCGAUGUUGUCCCAGCCGGGGCGCGAGGAUGAGGGGGCGAGGGGCGCGUGGCGGCCGGGGGAGCCGCCGGAUCAGGAGCUACAGUGGGCCCGGGAGCAGAAGCGGCGGUGGCACGGCGCGCAGCAUCUGCAGCAGCUCACGCGCCUGGAGUCCUUUUAUGAAAAACCUCCUCCUGGGCUUAUCAAGGAAGAUGAGGCUAAGCCAGAAGAUUGUAUACCAGGUGUACCAGGCAAUGAACAUACCAGGGAAUUUCUGGCUCAUGCACCAACUAAAGGAUUUUGGAUGCCACUGGGGAAAGAAGUCAGAGUUAUGCAGUGUUGACAUUGCAAACGGUACGGUCACCGAACAGGCUACAAAGAAUGCCCUUUCUUUAUCAAAGACAACCAAACGUUAGAACAGUUCAUAGUAGCACAUGAGGAUUUCAUGUAUGACAUCAUACAAGACAAUAAACAAUAUGAAAAGGAUGUAAGGAUACAGCAGUUAAAAUAGUUACUGGAGGAUUCUACCUCAGAUGAAGAUGGGAGCAGCUCCAGUUCCUCUGAAGGUAAAGAGAAACACAAGAAAAAGAAGAGGAAAGAAAAGCAUAAGAAAAGGAAGAAAGAAAAGAAAAAGAAGAAAAAACGGAAGCACAAAUCUUCCAAGUCAAAUGAGAGUUCCGACUCAGAGUGACAAGGAUGGGACUUGUUCAAUGUUCUCUUCUCAAGAAUCAAAACAUUGUGGCCAAGGAACAGAGAAAGAUACAGUCAGAGAAAGUAGCAGGAUAGAGACACAGAGAGGAGGAUACGUGGAUCACAGCAGUGAGCUCCCACCCGCCUUCCAGUGAAGAUGUGACCCCAGGAGAGGGAAUAUCUCCUUCCACGUGCUAGCUCUGGACAGUGGCUGAUUUUAGGCAGGACAGUUUCUUCGGUGUUGUCCUCCCUGCUGGUCACAUGAGUUUACGAUUCAUUUGAAAUACCUCCCACAGGGUAGCAGGACUGGGAGAAUCUUUGAGGCAUUUAUUCCAGGCCCUCCCACAGCUUGUGCCCUCCAUAGUGUGGAAUUGAACACCUGGCCUCAUGUGAUCCUUCCACCUUGGCCUCCCAAAGCAUUGGGAUAACAGGUGAGAGCCACUGCUUGGCUAAAAGUGUACAUUUAUAUUCUUCUGACAUGAUUUAUUGAUUUGGGGGCUAGGGAGUUCUUAACAAUAAAAAAUCUUGUGUGGUUAGCAUUCUACUUAACUUGCUUUCUACUGCCAGAGUCCCAUGAUUUUCACAGAGUGACUCAGAAAAGGUUUAGGAAUAUAGGGGGAUUUCUUUACUAGGUCAGGCACCCACAUCCCAAAAUCCAUGCCUCCCUUUCUUCCUCUUCCUGUUGCCUGACCACAGCCCAUCUGUGCUCUUGUAGCUGAGACUAGGCCACAGUAGAGGCAUCUCAGGAGGCCAGGGUGUGUCUGCAGCUGGAGGAGAGGAAGUCUGUCCUUUGCUGAGCCAAAGUGAAGCUGGAUCUUGCUCAUAGGCAAGUGUGUUCCUCUGUGGCCAACACUGGACUCUUGCUGCUUUAGGCACUCAGUCAGGGUCCCAGAAACUCACUCCCAUUUUCUGCGACUUUUCAUGGAGUUUAGAUUACACCUCUUUAAGGAACAGCCAAGCCAGGCCCAGACUGACCCUUCUUCAAGUCUCAUCAGUCAAUGCUCCUGUUCAUGGCCUUGGAAUACCACCUCAGGAAAACAAUCGGUUGAGAUUGGAAUGGCCAGGACUUAUUAUUUCUGAAAACUGUAAGACCAGUGGAUUCAGCCUUGCCUUACACUUAUCCUUGUCAUCAUUCCUCAGCACGCAGAACACAGGCCAUCUGUCCUCUGCCAUAUGCUCAGCAUUUCCCACCCAGGUACAGCCGGUCCUCUUCUUCCAGGAAUUGGCUAUUGUCCCUCUGCAAUCCCAUUCAUGAUAAAAGCAUUCUUAUACAACA
RNA transcript from Piliocolobus tephrosceles (Ugandan red Colobus), 2002 nucleotides. It is a transcript of the gene named retinitis pigmentosa 9 protein-like, with no coding region annotated. NCBI's taxonomy places the organism in Eukaryota, Metazoa, Chordata, Mammalia, Primates, Cercopithecidae. The record is from RefSeq and is a predicted model, not a curated record. The transcript is spliced from 6 exons.